UUGCUGGCAGCCUUGGGUUAGAGCCACAGCCAAGCCCUUCCAUCUUCCCUCCUGCUGUGCGGUGCUGCGCUACACUGCUCUAUGUACAGCUGUAGUGAGGGGAGGUCCUGGUGCAGUGUGGGUAGGGCAUGCAGGCACAAGAGUGAAGUUAAUUUUUUUUCAAGUGCCAACAGCAGCUAUUGAGAGGAAGUAUUAAUGGAGAAGCUGGAGGAUGAGAGGAAGUGAUAUAGAAGGAAUACCUGGCAUGAUGUAUUGCAUCUGCUUAGCCUGUUCUCGCUGCUGCUCGCCUUGCAUGCACUGUGAAGCCGCGAGGAACAGACAGAAGGCCAAGAGCGCCAUGCCAGUGCCGAUCCAGGAGAGCAUGUAAGACCAGUCGUAUUGGAUGGUGGUGGCGUUCUGCAAGAUCUACCGGGAGAGAGCACGCAGGUCAAGGGACCCAGACAGAAGCAGACUACAGGGGGACACGGCUCUCGAGACCAGAAGACAAGACAAGACAAACGGUGAAGACGGUUAUGGAUGGAAUACUUCAGAAGACCGAACGACAGCAAACAAAAGAUACACUAAACUCAUGUAAUAGCUUUGGUGGCUCGGAAGAACAUCAAGACAGCUGCAGACAAUUUAUUCUAGCAGCAAGGACCCUCAGUGAUGACAGGGGACUACAAAAGGGGCACUCAUGAAUAAGAGAGUCUAUCUUAAUGUGUGUAGUAGAGAGUGCCUCUGAAGAUUAAUAACAACA
This is a long non-coding RNA of Scylla paramamosain (green mud crab), 736 nucleotides long. RefSeq lists it as uncharacterized. The transcript has 3 exons. The record is from RefSeq and is a predicted model, not a curated record. Lineage: Eukaryota; Metazoa; Arthropoda; Malacostraca; Decapoda; Portunidae.